Molecule: long non-coding RNA, 648 nt
Organism: Neofelis nebulosa (Clouded leopard)
Lineage: Eukaryota; Metazoa; Chordata; Mammalia; Carnivora; Felidae
Exons: 4
Source: RefSeq, a predicted model, not a curated record
GUCGCCGUCGCCACAGCCGAGGGCCAAUCGCAGCGCCCUCCGCCUCCCGAGGCCACACCCCGCCAAGUCGGCACCUUGUCCUUCCUGCUUCGCAGGCCUGGGGAGGCCGCCUGGAGCUCUCCGUCUGACAGCCGCCGCGCCGCCACCCCGGAGGCCAGCCCCGCUCAGCCUAUCGAGCUGGCCAGGCUCGGCAACGUGCUGGGUGGCACCGGCUCCCGUGGACAGUGCACGCAGGUGCACGUGGAGGUCACGGAUCGCAGGAGCAGUUCCACCCUCCACAAGGGAAUUUCAUUCAGAAGAAGGAUAGACUACUUAACGUAUUUGAAGAAAUUGAGAAGAAAUAUGCACUGGGGGAUAUUUGAACAUUGAAUUCAUGCGUCUUCAUUGAAAACUUUUUAUGGAAGCAUGUAACUUGUGUACCCAAAGGGUACAUAUCAUAAACAUACAACUUGAUAUUUUUCACAAAAAUGAACACAGCCUUGUAACUACCUUCCAGAGAAAGACAUGGAAGAUUCCAGAAUAUUCCCUCAUGGGAUGGCUUCAUCUACCCCCUUCCGAUCGCUACCCACAAGGGUAAUCCUUUUCCGUUUCUAACGUGUAGAUUCAUGUUGACCGUUUUGUAUUUUAUAUAAAUGGAGUCAUACAGUA